UUCUAGUUUUUUUUUUCGGGUCUCAGUGAGAACUGUGGGGGGUGUGCAUUAUACACACAAUUUGGAGCGUGCAUAAGGGAGCUUGCUUCCCCGAAGUUAGCGGCGGGACGGGUGAGUAACACGUGGGUAACCUGCCCGUAAGACUGGGAUAACUCCGGGAAACCGGGGCUAAUACCGGAUGGUAUUUUGAACCGCAUGGUUCUAAAAUAAAAGGUGGCUUCGGCUAUCACUUACAGAUGGACCCGCGUCGCAUUAGCUAGUUGGUGAGGUAACGGCUCACCAAGGCAACGAUGCGUAGCCGACCUGAGAGGGUGAUCGGCCACUCUGGGACUGAGACACGGCCCAGACUCCUACGGGAGGCAGCAGUAGGGAAUCUUCCGCAAUGGACGAAAGUCUGACGGAGCAACGCCGCGUGAGUGAUGAAGGUUUUCGGAUCGUAAAACUCUGUUGUUAGGGAAGAACAAGUACCAUUUGAAUAAGGCGGCACCUUGACGGUACCUAACCAGAAAGCCACGGCUAACUACGUGCCAGCAGCCGCGGUAAUACGUAGGUGGCAAGCGUUGUCCGGAAUUAUUGGGCGUAAAGGGCGCGCAGGCGGUUUCUUAAGUCUGAUGUGAAAGCCCCCGGCUCAACCGGGGAGGGUCAUUGGAAACUGGGAAACUUGAGUGCAGAAGAGGAGAGUGGAAUUCCACGUGUAGCGGUGAAAUGCGUAGAGAUAUGGAGGAACACCAGUGGCGAAGGCGACUCUCUGGUCUGUAACUGACACUGAGGAGCGAAAGCGUGGGGAGCGAACAGGAUUAGAUACCCUGGUAGUCCACGCCGUAAACGAUGAGUGCUAAGUGUUAGGGGGUUUCCCCCCUUAGUGCCGCAGCUAACGCAUUAAGCACUCCGCUGGGGGGCGG
RNAcentral lists this ribosomal RNA (902 nucleotides) under Bacillus subtilis. RNAcentral's name for it is "bacterial SSU rRNA". It matches the Rfam family "Bacterial small subunit ribosomal RNA", at positions 1 to 882 of the family's 1533-position model. The record is from RNAcentral. Lineage: Bacteria; Bacillati; Bacillota; Bacilli; Caryophanales; Bacillaceae.